Molecule: long non-coding RNA, 88 nt
Organism: Lynx canadensis (Canada lynx)
Lineage: Eukaryota; Metazoa; Chordata; Mammalia; Carnivora; Felidae
Exons: 4
Source: RefSeq, a predicted model, not a curated record
UGGGUGGCUCAGUCAAUCUGUGGAACAUGCGACUUUUAAUCUCAGGGUUUUGAGCUGGAGUCCCACAUUGAGUGUAGAUAUUACUUAA